This 497-nucleotide ribosomal RNA is filed under the name uncultured bacterium. Its description in RNAcentral is "partial 16S ribosomal RNA". It matches the Rfam family "Bacterial small subunit ribosomal RNA", at positions 28 to 507 of the family's 1533-position model. The record is from RNAcentral.
GAUGAACGCUGGCGGCGUGCCUAAUACAUGCAAGUCGAGCGAACAGACGAGGAGCUUGCUCCUCUGACGUUAGCGGCGGACGGGUGAGUAACACGUGGAUAACCUACCUAUAAGACUGGGAUAACUUCGGGAAACCGGAGCUAAUACCGGAUAAUAUAUUGUACCGCAUGGUUCAAUAGUGAAAGACGGUUUUGCUGUCACUUAUAGAUGGAUCCGCGCCGCAUUAGCCAGUUGGUAAGGUAACGGCUUACCAAGGCAACGAUGCGUAGCCGACCUGAGAGGGUGAUCGGCCACACUGGAACUGAGACACGGUCCAGACUCCUACGGGAGGCAGCAGUAGGGAAUCUUCCGCAAUGGGCGAAAGCCUGACGGAGCAACGCCGCGUGAGUGAUGAAGGUCUUCGGAUCGUAAAACUCUGUUAUUAGGGAAGAACAAAUGUGUAAGUAACUAUGCACGUCUUGACGGUACCUAAUCAGAAAGCCACGGCUAACUACGUG